UACGAAGGGGGGCUAGCGUUGCUCGGAAUGACUGGGCGUAAAGGGCGCGUAGGCGGCUCAUACAGUCAGAUGUGAAAUUCCUGGGCUUAACCUGGGGGGCUGCAUUUGAUACGUGUGGGCUUGAGUGGGGAAGAGGGUCGUGGAAUUCCCAGUGUAGAGGUGAAAUUCGUAGAUAUUGGGAAGAACACCGGUGGCGAAGGCGGCGACCUGGUCCUUGACUGACGCUGAGGCGCGAAAGCGUGGGGAGCAAACAGG
RNAcentral lists this ribosomal RNA (255 nucleotides) under uncultured bacterium. RNAcentral's name for it is "partial 16S ribosomal RNA". It matches the Rfam family "Bacterial small subunit ribosomal RNA", at positions 524 to 776 of the family's 1533-position model. The record is from RNAcentral.